Molecule: transfer RNA, 71 nt
Filed under: Camelus bactrianus (Bactrian camel)
Lineage: Eukaryota; Metazoa; Chordata; Mammalia; Artiodactyla; Camelidae
Also listed under: 2 other names
Rfam family: tRNA
About the family: Transfer RNA (tRNA) molecules are approximately 80 nucleotides in length. Their secondary structure includes four short double-helical elements and three loops (D, anti-codon, and T loops).
Source: Rfam by way of RNAcentral
GGGGGUAUAGCUCAGCGGUAGAGCGCACACUUAGCACGCACAAAGUCCUGGGUUCAAUCCCAGUGCCUCCA